UAAUAUUACUUUUAUAUUUUUAAUAAAUGUAUUCCACUCACGUAUGCCCUUGCAGAACACUCUCUUGAAGGUCUUCCAUGAUAUGAAUGCACACAUGUGGAGGGGAGUUGGUCCCUCAACACAAAGGUUCAGUCAAUAUUAAGCCAUAAGAGGAAAGCAGCUCAGUGCCUCCUGAUGCAGUUGAACAUCCCUCCUGCUGGCUGUCACUCUUGGAGGUAGAUGGUCCUGCACAGCUCCACAGUGGCCCAUGUACCAGGCAUUCCAUGUUCCAUGUUCUCCAUUCCUGUAGAGACAAAGAUGAUGGCCCGUGGUGACUACAAAAGAUACGGUUCUCUCAGGGUAGCCAUGAAGCCGUGAGCAGACAUGAGUGGUCACUGAAAAUUCCUCAAGACCUCAAAACUGGCACAAACCUGACAUACUUCUUCACUAAGACUCAUUUCGUAGAUGAAGAAACUAAGACCCAUCCAGAAAAUGCCCUUCCCUCUAUGAAAUCCUGACUCAUGAGAAUGCCCAAGGCAGUUCCCCUCAGCCACGGGAAUCUCUACACGUGGGGCCUCUUGCAACUCCUGAGUUUUAACCCUUCAUGUCCAGCUGGUGGUGCCAUGCAGGGAGAUUAUGGAACUUUUAGGUAAGGAGGUGGAGACUCCCUGGAGGAAGGAUUCCUGGGGGGCGGGCCUUGAACUUUUAUAGCACCACUCAACAUCCUGUUCUCUUUCUGCUUCCUAGUUGUGAAUGUAACAUGACUGUGGCAUUCUCAUGUCAUGUCACUGAUGCCUGUCACUCCUGAUGUCAUGCUUCACCCACCAUAAUGUAAUCCAUUAAGUCUAAAUAAACCAUUCCUCCUCAAA
Molecule: long non-coding RNA, 848 nt
Organism: Mastomys coucha (southern multimammate mouse)
Lineage: Eukaryota; Metazoa; Chordata; Mammalia; Rodentia; Muridae
Exons: 4
Source: RefSeq, a predicted model, not a curated record